Molecule: ribosomal RNA, 484 nt
Filed under: uncultured bacterium
Lineage: Bacteria
Description: partial 16S ribosomal RNA
Rfam family: Bacterial small subunit ribosomal RNA
Source: RNAcentral
AUUGAACGCUGGCGGCAGGCCUAACACAUGCAAGUCGAGCGGAUGAAGGGAGCUUGCUCCUGGAUUCAGCGGCGGACGGGUGAGUAAUGCCUAGGAAUCUGCCUGGUAGUGGGGGAUAACGUCCGGAAACGGGCGCUAAUACCGCAUACGUCCUGAGGGAGAAAGUGGGGGAUCUUCGGACCUCACGCUAUCAGAUGAGCCUAGGUCGGAUUAGCUAGUUGGUGGGGUAAAGGCCUACCAAGGCGACGAUCCGUAACUGGUCUGAGAGGAUGAUCAGUCACACUGGAACUGAGACACGGUCCAGACUCCUACGGCAGGCAGCAGUGGGGAAUAUUGGACAAUGGGCGAAAGCCUGAUCCAGCCAUGCCGCGUGUGCGAAGAAGGUCUUCGGAUUGUAAAGCACUUUAAGUUGGGAGGAAGGGCAGUAAGUUAAUACCUUGCUGUUUUGACGUUACCAACAGAAUAAGCACCGGCUAACUUCGUG